RNAcentral lists this ribosomal RNA (429 nucleotides) under Bacteroidota bacterium. Its description in RNAcentral is "Bacteroidetes bacterium partial 16S ribosomal RNA". It matches the Rfam family "Bacterial small subunit ribosomal RNA", at positions 355 to 776 of the family's 1533-position model. The record is from RNAcentral. Lineage: Bacteria; Pseudomonadati; Bacteroidota.
UAGGGAAUCUUCCGCAAUGGACGCAAGUCUGACGGAGCAACGCCGCGUGAGUGAAGAAGGAUUUCGGUUCGUAAAACUCUGUUGUUAGAGAAGAACAGCGCAUAGAGUAACUGUUAUGCGUGUGACGGUAUCUAACCAGAAAGCCACGGCUAACUACGUGCCAGCAGCCGCGGUAAUACGUAGGUGGCAAGCGUUGUCCGGAUUUAUUGGGCGUAAAGCGAGCGCAGGCGGUCAAUUAAGUCUGAUGUGAAAGCCCCCGGCUCAACCGGGGAGGGUCAUUGGAAACUGGUUGACUUGAGUGCAGAAGAGGAGAGUGGAAUUCCAUGUGUAGCGGUGAAAUGCGUAGAUAUAUGGAGGAAAACCAGGGGCGAAGGCGACUCUCUGGUCUGUAACUGACGCGGAGGCUCGAAAGCGUGGGUAGCAAACAGG